GAGAAUAAAAUGGAAUAUCAUUAAAAGUUAGGGGUCUCAAAUAUCAGGUCUCAAAGAUAUUUUCGACAUCAUUGGCCUAACGAUCAGAAGGUUUUAAAAUUUGUAAUUUUAAUAGUCGAUAUAAGAUGUUUUCUCGUUUAACGGCGUAAAAAUAUUAAAAUCAAUUGAAUUUUGGUUAGAAAAUUUUUUAAACUAUUUAGAACAAAAUCUAUAAUCUUGAUCUUGAUUACAAGACUUCUAUCAUUACUUGUUAAAGAAUAUUCAUUUUCAGCUGUUGAUUUUUGUACCCACUUGAUGGAUGAGAGAACAAUAUAGAAAAAAUAUAAAAUUUGGUUUCUAAAUGAUUCAAGUGGCAUAGAUAAUAUUCAACGGUACCGAUUGUCGAUUUGGGGGCUCUAUCAUCGAAAAUAAAUGAAUGGCAACGGUGCCCAUUUACCACCGAUUGCAUUCCAACUCAACUCUAUAUAUUUAUACUUCAUGUGUAAACACUUUAAUAGUUUUAACUUUAGAGUCUCAGCUUGACUUUGUAGAGGCUUGAACCGAGUUCGGAUUGUCGUUGGUCAAACAUUUUAAGUGUCAAGCCCAAUCCCACCCAUCAAGUUUCGAGCUCAAUAACACGGAGCAGACCACCUAAUCUCUAGC
This 642-nucleotide long non-coding RNA is filed under the name Ananas comosus (pineapple). RNAcentral's name for it is "long non-coding RNA (ACOM_LNC042691)". Lineage: Eukaryota; Viridiplantae; Streptophyta; Magnoliopsida; Poales; Bromeliaceae. The record is from RNAcentral.